AUGAACGCUGGCGGCGUGCCUAAUACAUGCAAGUCGAGCGAACAGACGAGGAGCUUGCUCCUCUGACGUUAGCGGCGGACGGGUGAGUAACACGUGGAUAACCUACCUAUAAGACUGGGGUAACUUCGGGAAACCGGAGCUAAUACCGGAUAACAUGUUGAACCGCAUGGUUUAACAGUGAAAGACGGUCUUGCUGUCACUUAUAGAUGGAUCCGCGCCGCAUUAGCUAGUUGGUAAGGUAACGGCUUACCAAGGCAACGAUGCGUAGCCGACCUGAGAGGGUGAUCGGCCACACUGGAACUGAGACACGGUCCAGACUCCUACGGGAGGCAGCAGUAGGGAAUCUUCCGCAAUGGGCGAAAGCCUGACGGAGCAACGCCGCGUGAGUGAAGAAGGUCUUCGGAUCGUAAAACUCUGUUAUUAGGGAAGAACAAAUGUGUAAGUAACUAUGCACGUCUUGACGGUACCUAAUCAGAAAGCCACGGCUAACUACGUG
Molecule: ribosomal RNA, 496 nt
Filed under: uncultured bacterium
Lineage: Bacteria
Description: partial 16S ribosomal RNA
Rfam family: Bacterial small subunit ribosomal RNA
Source: RNAcentral